UAGGGGGCAACCCUGAUCCAGCCAUGCCGCGUGAUCGAUGAAGGCCUUAGGGUUGUAAAGAUCUUUCAGCUGGGAAGAUAAUGACGGUACCAGCAGAAGAAGCCCCGGCUAACUCCGUGCCAGCAGCCGCGGUAAUACGGAGGGGGCUAGCGUUGUUCGGAAUUACUGGGCGUAAAGCGCACGUAGGCGGACCUAGUCAGUUGGGGGUGAAAUCCCGGGGGCUCAACCCCGGAACUGCCUCCAAAAACUGCUGGUCUGGAGGUCGAGAGAGGCGAGUGGAAUUCCGAGUGUAGAGGUGAAAUUCGUAGAUAUUCGGAGGAACACCAGUGGCGAAGGCGGCUCGCUGGCUCGAUACUGACGCUGAGGUGCGAAAGCGUGGGGAGCGAACAGGAUUAGAUACCCUGGUAGUCCACGCCGUAAACUAUGAGAGCUAGACGUCGGGCGGCUUGCCGUUCGGUGUCGCAGCUAACGCAUUAAGCUCUCCGCCUGGGGAGUACGGCCGCAAGGUUA
Molecule: ribosomal RNA, 510 nt
Filed under: uncultured Pseudomonadota bacterium
Lineage: Bacteria; Pseudomonadati; Pseudomonadota
Description: bacterial SSU rRNA
Rfam family: Bacterial small subunit ribosomal RNA
Source: RNAcentral